This 455-nucleotide ribosomal RNA is filed under the name uncultured bacterium. Its description in RNAcentral is "bacterial SSU rRNA". It matches the Rfam family "Bacterial small subunit ribosomal RNA", at positions 340 to 786 of the family's 1533-position model. The record is from RNAcentral.
UACGGGAGGCAGCAGUGGGGAAUAUUGCACAAUGGGCGAAAGCCUGAUGCAGCUAUGCCGCGUGUAUGAAGAAGGCCUUAGGGUUGUAAAGUACUUUCAUCGGGGAGGAAAAAACAAAACUAAUAAUUUUAUUUCUUGACGUUACCCGAAAAAGAAGCACCGGCUAACUCCGUGCCAGCAGCCGCGGUAAUACGGAGGGUGCUAGCGUUAAUCAGAAUUACUGGGCGUAAAGAGCACGUAGGUGGUUUUUUUAAGUCAGAUGUGAAUCCCUGGGCUUAACCUAGGAACUGCAUUUUGAAACUGAAAUACUAGAGUAUCGUAGAGGGAGGUAGAAUUCUAGGUGUAGCGGUGAAAUGCGUAGAUAUCUGGAGGAAUACCUGUGGCGAAAGCGGCCUCCUAAACGAAUACUGACACUGAGUGCGAAAGCGUGGGGAGCAAAACAGGGAUUAGAUACC